Molecule: ribosomal RNA, 253 nt
Filed under: uncultured bacterium
Lineage: Bacteria
Description: partial 16S ribosomal RNA
Rfam family: Bacterial small subunit ribosomal RNA
Source: RNAcentral
UACGUAGGGCGCAAGCGUUGUCCGGAAUUAUUGGGCGUAAAGAGCUCGUAGGCGGCUUGUCAAGUCGGGUGUGAAAGCCCGGGGCUUAACCCCGGGUCUGCAUUCGAUACGGGCAGGCUAGAGUGUGGUAGGGGAGAUCGGAAUUCCUGGUGUAGCGGUGAAAUGCGCAGAUAUCAGGAGGAACACCGGUGGCGAAGGCGGAUCUCUGGGCCAUUACUGACGCUGAGGAGCGAAAGCGUGGGGAGCAAACAGG